AGAGUUGAUCGAUCGGCUCAGGACGAACGCUGGCGGCGUGCCUAACACAUGCAAGUCGAGCGAGGAGAUCCUCGGGAUGAUCCUGGCGGCGGACGGGUGAGUAACACGUGGGCAACCUGCCUCAUAGAGAGGAAUAGCCUUCCGAAAGGGAGAUUAAUACCUCAUAACAUUGCAGUUUCGCAUGAAACAGCAAUUAAAGGAGCAAUCCGCUAUGAGAUGGGCCCGCGGCGCAUUAGCUAGUUGGUGAGGUAACGGCUCACCAAGGCGACGAUGCGUAGCCGACCUGAGAGGGUGAUCGGCCACAUUGGGACUGGGACACGGCCCAGACUCCUACGGGAGGCAGCAGUGGGGAAUAUUGCACAAUGGGGGAAACCCUGACGCAAGCAACGCCGCGUGAGUGAUGACGGCCUUCGGGUUGUAAAGCUCUGUCUUCAGGGACGAUAAUGACGGUACCUGAGGAGGAAGCCACGGCUAACUACGUGCCAGCAGCCGC
RNAcentral lists this ribosomal RNA (493 nucleotides) under uncultured bacterium. RNAcentral describes it as "bacterial SSU rRNA". It matches the Rfam family "Bacterial small subunit ribosomal RNA", at positions 8 to 518 of the family's 1533-position model. The record is from RNAcentral.